RNAcentral lists this ribosomal RNA (522 nucleotides) under Triticum aestivum (bread wheat). RNAcentral describes it as "partial small subunit ribosomal RNA". Lineage: Eukaryota; Viridiplantae; Streptophyta; Magnoliopsida; Poales; Poaceae. The record is from RNAcentral.
AUGGCGACCUCCGCGGUGCUCUUCCUCCUCCUCGCUGUUUUUGCCGCCGGUGCCAGCGCGGCCAUCUUCAACAUCAAGAACAACUGCGGCUCCACAAUUUGGCCGGCGGGCAUCCCGGUGGGUGGGGGCUUCGCGCUGGGCGCAGGCCAGACGUCCAGCAUCAACGUGCCCGCGGGCACCAAAGCCGGGAGGAUAUGGGCUCGCACCGGGUGCUCCUUCAAUGGCGGCAGCGGGAGCUGCCGGACCGGCGACUGCGGCGGCCAGCUGUCCUGCUCCCUCUCCGGGCGGCCACCAGCAACGCUGGCCGAGUACACCAUCGGCGGCGGCAGCACCCAGGACUUCUACGACAUCUCGGUGAUCGACGGCUUCAACCUUGCCAUGGACUUCUCGUGCAGCACCGGCGACGCGCUCCAGUGCAGGGAUCCCAGCUGCCCGCCGCCGCAAGCCUACCAACACCCCAACGACCAAGCCACACACGCCUGCAGUGGCAAUAAUAACUACCAGAUCACCUUCUGCCCAUGA